GCUCCUGUGGCGCAAUCGGUUAGCGCGUGGUACUUAUAAUGCCGAGGUUGUUGUGAGUUCGACCCUCACCAGGAGCA
Molecule: non-coding RNA, 77 nt
Organism: Oncorhynchus kisutch (coho salmon)
Lineage: Eukaryota; Metazoa; Chordata; Actinopteri; Salmoniformes; Salmonidae
Source: the annotation of a RefSeq genome assembly